GACGAACGCUGGCGGCGUGCUUAACACAUGCAAGUCGAACGGAAAGGCCCUGCUUUUGUGGGGUGCUCGAGUGGCGAACGGGUGAGUAACACGUGAGUAACCUGCCCUUGACUUUGGGAUAACUUCAGGAAACUGGGGCUAAUACCGGAUAGGAGCUCCUGCUGCAUGGUGGGGGUUGGAAAGUUUCGGCGGUUGGGGAUGGACUCGCGGCUUAUCAGCUUGUUGGUGGGGUAGUGGCUUACCAAGGCUUUGACGGGUAGCCGGCCUGAGAGGGUGACCGGCAAAAAUGGGACUGAGAUACGGCACAGAAUCCAACGGGAGGAAGAAGUGGGGAAUAUUGCAAAAUGGGAGGAAGCAUGAUGCAGCAACGGCGCGUGCGGGAUGAAGGCCGUCGGGUUGUAAACCGCUUUCGCAUGUGACGAAGAGUGAGUGACGGUAAUGGGUAAAGAAGCACCGGCUAACUACGUG
Molecule: ribosomal RNA, 468 nt
Filed under: uncultured bacterium
Lineage: Bacteria
Description: partial 16S ribosomal RNA
Rfam family: Bacterial small subunit ribosomal RNA
Source: RNAcentral